RNAcentral lists this ribosomal RNA (482 nucleotides) under uncultured bacterium. RNAcentral's name for it is "partial 16S ribosomal RNA". It matches the Rfam family "Bacterial small subunit ribosomal RNA", at positions 28 to 523 of the family's 1533-position model. The record is from RNAcentral.
GAUGAACGCUGGCGGCGUGCUUAACACAUGCAAGUCGAACGAUGAUCCCAGCUUGCUGGGGGAUUAGUGGCGAACGGGUGAGUAACACGUGAGUAACCUGCCCUUGACUCUGGGAUAAGCCUGGGAAACUGGGUCUAAUACCGGAUAUGACUCCUCAUCGCAUGGUGGGGGGUGGAAAGCUUUUGUGGUUUUGGAUGGACUCGCGGCCUAUCAGCUUGUUGGUGGGGUAAUGGCCUACCAAGGCGACGACGGGUAGCCGGCCUGAGAGGGUGACCGGCCACACUGGGACUGAGACACGGCCCAGACUCCUACGGGAGGCAGCAGUGGGGAAUAUUGCACAAUGGGCGAAAGCCUGAUGCAGCGACGCCGCGUGAGGGAUGACGGCCUUCGGGUUGUAAACCUCUUUCAGUAGGGAAGAAGCCGUAAGGUGACGGUACCUGCAGAAGAAGCGCCGGCUAACUACGUGCCAGCAGCCGCCGUAA